GUUCAAAACACAGUGAUGCAUUUUCCAAGCACAUAUCUAAUUGUUCUGGGUAGAAAAUGACUGUUGCUAUGUGAUUUUUGGAU
Molecule: small nucleolar RNA, 83 nt
Filed under: Cyanoderma ruficeps (rufous-capped babbler)
Lineage: Eukaryota; Metazoa; Chordata; Aves; Passeriformes; Timaliidae
Description: Small nucleolar RNA SNORD121A (ENSCRFG00000010281.1)
Rfam family: Small nucleolar RNA SNORD121A
Source: Rfam by way of RNAcentral